CAAACUUGGUCAUUUAGAGGAAGUAAAAGUCGUAACAAGGUCUCCGUUGGUGAACCAGCGGAGGGAUCAUUACAAGAAGCCGAAAGGCUACUUAAAACCAUCGCGAACUUAUCCAAGUUGCUUCGGCGGCGCGGCUCCCCUCACGGGGGACUGCAGCCCCGCCUCUCAGGAGGUAUGGGGCACCCGCCGGAGGUACGAAACUCUGUAUUAUAGUGGCAUCUCUGAGUAUAACACAAAUAAGUUAAAACUUUCAACAACGGAUCUCUUGGUUCUGGCAUCGAUAAAGAACGCAGCGAAAUGCGAUAAGUAAUGUGAAUUGCAGAAUUCAGUGAAUCAUCGAAUCUUUGAACGCACAUUGCGCCCGCUAGUACUCUAGCGGGCAUGCCUGUUCGAGCGUCAUUUCAACCCUCAAGCUCUGCUUGGUGUUGGGGCUCUACGUCUGACGUAGGCCCUGAAAGGAAGUGGCGGGCUCGCUACAACUCCGAGCGUAGUAAUUCAUUAUCUCGCUAGGGAAGUGUGGCGUGCUCCUGCCGUUAAAGACCCCAUCUUUAACCAAGGUUGACCUCGGAUCAGGUAGGAAUACCCGCUGAACUUAAGCAUAUCAAUAAGCGGAGG
This 615-nucleotide ribosomal RNA is filed under the name uncultured Coniochaeta. Its description in RNAcentral is "eukaryotic LSU rRNA". The stretch from base 246 to 399 matches the Rfam family "5.8S ribosomal RNA". The record is from RNAcentral. Lineage: Eukaryota; Fungi; Ascomycota; Sordariomycetes; Coniochaetales.